RNAcentral lists this ribosomal RNA (882 nucleotides) under human gut metagenome. RNAcentral describes it as "bacterial SSU rRNA". It matches the Rfam family "Bacterial small subunit ribosomal RNA", at positions 8 to 891 of the family's 1533-position model. The record is from RNAcentral.
AGAGUUUGAUCCUGGCUCAGGAUGAACGCUGGCGGCGUGCCUAAUACAUGCAAGUCGAGCGAGAAUUUUUCAAAUGACACUUCGGUUGAUUUUGGAAAAGGACAGCGGCGGACGGGUGAGUAACGCGUAGGCAACCUGCCCCUGACAGAGGGAUAGCCAUUGGAAACGAUGAUUAAAACCUCAUAAUGCCGAAGAAACACAUGUUUCAUCGGCCAAAGAUUUAUCGGUCAGGGAUGGGCCUGCGUCUGAUUAGCUAGUUGGUGAGGUAACGGCCCACCAAGGUGACGAUCAGUAGCCGACCUGAGAGGGUGAUCGGCCACAUUGGAACUGAGACACGGUCCAAACUUCUACGGAAGGCAGCAGUAGGGAAUCUUGCACAAUGGGCGAAAGCCUGAUGCAGCAACGCCGCGUGAAGGAUGAAGGCCUUCGGGUUGUAAACUUCUGUUCUUAGGGAAGAAGAAAGUGACGGUACCUAAGGAGAAAGCCCCGGCUAACUACGUGCCAGCAGCCGCGGUAAUACGUAGGGGGCAAGCGUUAUCCGGAAUUAUUGGGCGUAAAGAGUGCGUAGGUGGUUAUCUAAGCGUAAGGUUUAAGCGUGCAGCUCAACUGCAUCUCGCCUUGCGAACUGGAUUACUUGAGUGCAGGAGGGGAAAGCGGAAUUCCUAGUGUAGCGGUGAAAUGCGUAGAUAUUAGGAGGAACACCAGUGGCGAAGGCGGCUUUCUGGACUGUAACUGACACUGAGGCACGAAAGCGUGGGGAGCAAACAGGAUUAGAUACCCUGGUAGUCCACGCCGUAAACGAUGAGUACUAGAUGUUGGUCCCGAAGGGAUCAGUGUCGCAGUUAACGCAAUAAGUGCUCCGCCUGGGGAGUACGCUCGCAA